ACACACAGAACCGUGACCGGUCCCGGAAAGGCGACUUUCCGGGGGAAAGAGGGAAUGCCGUGCGGCGCAUCCGCGCCAAUCCGGCAACUGCCCCCGCAACUGUAAGCGGAGAGCCGGGCCAAGACGCCACUGGAGCAAUCCGGGAAGGCAGGCCCAGGCAACGACCCGCGAGUCAGGAGACCUGCCGGACACCCGCGGCCCAG
This 203-nucleotide non-coding RNA is filed under the name Antarctobacter albus. RNAcentral also lists the same sequence under 1 other name. Lineage: Bacteria; Pseudomonadati; Pseudomonadota; Alphaproteobacteria; Rhodobacterales; Roseobacteraceae. The record is from RNAcentral.